Molecule: ribosomal RNA, 468 nt
Filed under: uncultured bacterium
Lineage: Bacteria
Description: partial 16S ribosomal RNA
Rfam family: Bacterial small subunit ribosomal RNA
Source: RNAcentral
GACGAACGCUGGCGGCGUGCUUAACACAUGCAAGUCGAACGGAAAGGCCCUGCUUUUGUGGGGUGCUCGAGUGGCGAACGGGUGAGUAACACGUGAGUAACCUGCCCUUGACUUUGGGAUAACUUCAGGAAACUGGGGCUAAUACCGGAUAGGAGCUCCUGCUGCAUGGUGGGGGUUGGAAAGUUUCGGCGGUUGGGGAUGGACUCGCGGCUUAUCAGCUUGUUGGUGGGGUAGUGGCUUACCCAGGCUUUGACGGGUAGCCGGCCUGAGAGGGUGACCGGCCACAUUGGGACUGAGAUACGGCCCAGACUCCUACGGGAGGCAGCAGUGGGGAAUAUUGCACAAUGGGCGGAAGCCUGAUGCAGCAACGCCGCGGGCGGGAUGACGGCCUUCGGGUUGUAAACCGCUUUCGCCUGUGACGAAGCGUGAGUGACGGUAAUGGGUAAAGAAGCACCGGCUAACUACGUG